CAUACAUGGAAAUCUGUGAAUCUUGUGCUGGCAUCUGCAUAAAGGAUCAUUUUCUGGGAGGGCCUGUUACAUCAUUUCCAUGAUCUGCUCUCACUUUCCACUGCAAUGGCUGCAUGGGAAAUGCAUCUGCUUCUACAACUGAGCUUUAAAGAGCACAAGUCCUCUUCUGCUACAAGGAACCUGUUAGGGGCAACAGCAAUUAAGGAGGGA
Long non-coding RNA from Melozone crissalis (California towhee), 210 nucleotides. RefSeq lists it as uncharacterized. Lineage: Eukaryota; Metazoa; Chordata; Aves; Passeriformes; Passerellidae. The transcript is spliced from 3 exons. The record is from RefSeq and is a predicted model, not a curated record.